Molecule: long non-coding RNA, 397 nt
Organism: Tachysurus fulvidraco (yellow catfish)
Lineage: Eukaryota; Metazoa; Chordata; Actinopteri; Siluriformes; Bagridae
Exons: 2
Source: RefSeq, a predicted model, not a curated record
UCUUCAUUAAACUUCUUCUAUCAGAGAGAUUUCAGCACACAGGACUGAUAAAGCUCCAGUGUAUCAUAUCUGUAAAGUCAUGUGACUCGUCACACCAUCAGAAUAGACAAGAAUUCACUGUGAGCUUCACACCUCAUUACAGCUAAUGGACCAAUCAAAUCAGUCCACAGCUUCAAAUCAUCCAAUCAGGUGUGAGUCUGGACCUGGUUUUGUACUGAACACACAAGUUCAUUAGAUCACUUGGUGUGAACAGGAACGAUGAUCAGACUCUUUGUCGCUCUUUGUGCUCUUUUUUCUCUCUUCACAGCUGUGAAAACUUCUGACAUCAAGGAGAUUGACGUGAUAACAGUAAAGCGUGGAGAAGAUGUAACUAUGAAGUGUAGCAUUAGCAGUGUCA